RNAcentral lists this transfer RNA (69 nucleotides) under Isopachys gyldenstolpei. RNAcentral describes it as "tRNA-Arg". It matches the Rfam family "tRNA". Rfam says of the family: Transfer RNA (tRNA) molecules are approximately 80 nucleotides in length. Their secondary structure includes four short double-helical elements and three loops (D, anti-codon, and T loops). Further hydrogen bonds mediate the characteristic L-shaped molecular structure. tRNAs have two regions of fundamental functional importance: the anti-codon, which is responsible for specific mRNA codon recognition, and the 3' end, to which the tRNAs corresponding amino acid is attached (by aminoacyl-tRNA synthetases). tRNAs cope with the degeneracy of the genetic code in two manners: having more than one tRNA (with a specific anti-codon) for a particular amino acid; and 'wobble' base-pairing, i.e. permitting non-standard base-pairing at the 3rd anti-codon position. The record is from RNAcentral. Lineage: Eukaryota; Metazoa; Chordata; Lepidosauria; Squamata; Scincidae.
AGGCAGCUAGUUUAAGCAAAACAACUAAUUUCGACUUAGAAGACCCGAGUUCAACUCUUGGGCCGCCAC